Molecule: long non-coding RNA, 533 nt
Filed under: Bos taurus (domestic cattle)
Lineage: Eukaryota; Metazoa; Chordata; Mammalia; Artiodactyla; Bovidae
Description: long non-coding RNA NONBTAT022295
Source: RNAcentral
GAAAACAGUUCUUUUGGUUAAUAGGAGAGAAAAACUUCUUAUGGAAUUAGGUGUGCUAGGCCUUUAAUACUUGGAUGCAUAUUGUGUGCUUUUAAGACCACAUGUAGAUAGUAACUUCCCUGUCUGGUAAUAACGUUCAGCCAUUUGUCUUGGUAAGUAAUUAAAGCACCCUCCUGCCCUCCUACCUUGGGCCUCUAGUGACGAUGUGGAUCUAGGGAGAGCAAGCUACGUGUUGCUGUUAGAGUGAAUUUGUUCCCUAACCCAUCCCCGUGAAUAUCAAUGCUAACAACAGUGUCUUGUGUGUGGACGGACUGAGGGGCUUCUGGCUCAGGCGGUGGGGCUCACACAUGUUGCUUUUUUUGAUGUCUCCCAUUGUGAAUGACUUCAGGCUGGUCGCCCCAGGCUCCUGUUGUCUCGUAAGAACCGGCAUUUGCACCGAGCCAGCAUCAGCAGCCCACGCAUGCCUUUUUUCUGCCUGAGCUCACGUACACUCUCUGCCUCGCGCUGGGAGGAUUUCUCUCCCCUCUAAUAUC